RNAcentral lists this long non-coding RNA (215 nucleotides) under Capsicum annuum. RNAcentral's name for it is "long non-coding RNA (CANN_LNC001657)". The record is from RNAcentral. Lineage: Eukaryota; Viridiplantae; Streptophyta; Magnoliopsida; Solanales; Solanaceae.
UGGGGGCCUUGUCCUAGUUUUAGACAAGAUAUUGGUUCCUAUGUAUUAGAGAUUUCACAGACUGUUGUUAGAUAUUGUUAGAAGUUAUGAAUUCCAUUUUGGAUUGAUCCUUUGAAAUUAUUAUUUGACCAUGAUUCUGUAUCAAUAUUUAUUUAUGCAUUGUCUUUUAUAAUACGUGAACAUAUGUAUAAUGUCCAAAAACUAAAGUGUGCUCG